GAUUAGAUACCCUGGUAGUCCACGCCGUAAACGAUGUCGACUUGGAGGUUGUUCCCUUGAGGAGUGGCUUCCGGAGCUAACGCGUUAAGUCGACCGCCUGGGGAGUACGGCCGCAAGGUUAAAACUCAAAUGAAUUGACGGGGGCCCGCACAAGCGGUGGAGCAUGUGGUUUAAUUCGAUGCAACGCGAAGAACCUUACCUACUCUUGACAUCCACGGAAUUCGGCAGAGAUGCCUUAGUGCCUUCGGGAACCGUGAGACAGGUGCUGCAUGGCUGUCGUCAGCUCGUGUUGUGAAAUGUUGGGUUAAGUCCCGCAACGAGCGCAACCCUUAUCCUUUGUUGCCAGCGAUUCGGUCGGGAACUCAAAGGAGACUGCCGGUGAUAAACCGGAGGAAGGUGGGGAUGACGUCAAGUCAUCAUGGCCCUUACGAGUAGGGCUACACACGUGCUACAAUGGCGCAUACAAAGAGAAGCGACCUCGCGAGAGCAAGCGGACCUCAUAAAGUGCGUCGUAGUCCGGAUCGGAGUCUGCAACUCGACUCCGUGAAGUCGGAAUCGCUAGUAAUCGUGGAUCAGAAUGCCACGGUGAAUACGUUCCCGGGCCUUGUACACACCGCCCGUCACACCAUGGGAGUGGGUUGCAAAAGAAGUAGGUAGCUUAACCUUCGGGAGGGCGCUUACCACUUUGUGAUUCAUGACUGGGGUGAAGUCGUAACAAGG
Molecule: ribosomal RNA, 720 nt
Filed under: uncultured bacterium
Lineage: Bacteria
Description: bacterial SSU rRNA
Rfam family: Bacterial small subunit ribosomal RNA
Source: RNAcentral